CGCCUCUCAUCGAUCGUUCUUCUCGCCGGGCGCGCCCGCGCGUGCUCCCCCGCCCUACGGUUUGUGCCGGCUGGGUUGGGCUCGACCGCGCGGCGCUGUGGCACUAGCGGUCAGGUCACAGGAACCAGAGCAUUGUACUGUGACUCCUGUACAUUCAUUUGCUUGGGAUUCGACCGGGCAUGUAAAUCUCACCCACUUCGCCUAAUGUUUUGAGACCAUAAUAUAGGGACUGCUAGCCAAGAACCAUAACUCGGUUUAUUGGAGUCAGAAUGACCGUUUUUUCCUCUCCAUGAAACUGACUUGAGUCAAAUACAUUUAAUUUUUUGAUAAUUACAUUUGUUGCAAGCUUAUAUUGUAGUGCCUUGGAAUUUUGAAACAAUCAAAUGGGGACAACAGCACGGGCCUACCUUAUGCUCGACAUCUUAGAACAUCUCUAGCAGACCCCGUAUAACGUCGUGACUUGCAAAAUAACCGUCAAAAUACGGGUCUGCGCGAAAAAUCCUGCCCGACCAGACACCGCAAACGCGGCCGAUCCGUAAAAAAAUUUGUGGGGCGUGGCAUAAUUCCCGUCCCAACCAACGAAAACGCGGGUUCCCCCCUCGACCCGUCGGCGCCCUGUAUAUAGGGGUAGCGGUUGGCGGUGGUGGUGGUGGUGGGGGGGGGGGGACACUUCAGCCUGCGCUUUUUCCCACUGAUAACCCACAAGUAUAAAGGAUCGCAAUAGUUUUCGAGGGUAGAGUAUUCAACCCAAAAUUAUUGAUUCAACACAAGGGAGCCAAAGAAUAUUCUCAAAUAUUAGCAGCUGAGUUGUCAAUUCAACCACACCUGAAAGACUUAAUAUCUACAACAAAGUAUUUAGUAGCAAAAUAGUAUGGAAGUAACGGUAACGGUGGCAAAAGUAACAGUAGCAGUUUUGUAACAGUCGUAACAGUGGCAGAAAAGUAACUUAGCAAAGAUCAAUAUGUGAAAAGCUCAUAGGCAAUGGAUCAAUGAUGGAUAAUUAUGUUGGAUGGCAUUCAUCAUGUGAUGGUUAUAACAUAGGAUGACACAGAACUAGCUCCAAUUCAUCAAUAUAAUAUAGGCAUGUAUUCCGAAUAUAGUCAUACGUACUUAUGGAAAAAAACUUGCAGAACAUCUUUUAUCCUAUCCUCCUGUGGCAGCGGGGUUCUAUCGGAAACUAAGGGAUAUUAAUGCCUCCUUUUAAUAUAGUAUCGGAUCAAAACAUUAGCACUUAGUGAAUACACGAACUCCUCAAACUACGGCCAUCACCGGGAAGUGUCCCGACUAUUGUCACUCCGGGGUUGCCGGAUCAUAACACGUAGUAGGUGACUAUAACUUGCAAUAUCGGAUCAAGAACACAAAUAUAUUCAUGAAAACAUACUAGGUUCCGAUCUGAAAUCAUGGCACUAGGGACCUAGUGACAAGCAUUAGGCAUAGCAAAGUCAUAGCAACAUCAUCUUAGAACAUAGUGGAUACUAGGGAUCAAACCCUAACAAAACUAACUCGAUUACAUGGUAAAUCUCAUCUAACCCAUCACCGUCCAGCAAGCCUAUGAUGGAAUCACUCACGCACGGCGGUGAGCAUCAUGAAAUUGGUGAUGGAGGAUGGUUGAAGAUGAUGAUGGCGACGGAUUUCCCUCUCCGGAGCCCAAAACAGACUCCAGAUCUGCCCUCCCGAGGAAGAACAGGGCUUGGCGGCGGCUCCGUAUUAUAAAACGCGAUGAAUCAUUCUCUUUGAUUUUUUUCUCCCGAACGUGAAUAUAUGGAGUUGGAGUUGAGGUCGGUGGAGGUCCAGGGGGCCCACGAGGACGGAGGGCGUGCCCCAGGGGGUGGGCGUGCCCCGCAACCUUGUGGCCAAGGUGUGGGCCCCCUUCACUUGAUUCUUUUGCCAAUAUUUUUUAUUAAUUCCCAAAAUCAUCUCCAUGAAGUUUCAGGUCAUUCCGAGAGUUUCUAUUUUUGCACAAAAAUAACACCAUGGCAAUUCUGCUGAAAACAACGUCACUCCGGGUUAGUUCUAUUCAAAUCAUGUAAGUUAGAGUCCAAAACAAGGAAAAAAGAGUUUGGAAAAGUAGAUAUGAUGGAGACGUAUCAACUCCCCCAAGUUUAACCCAUUGCUUGUCCUCAAGCAAUUCAUUUGACAAACUGAAAGUGAUAAAGAAAAACUUUUACAAACUCUAUUUGAUCUUGUUGUUGCAAAUAUGUAAAGUCGACAUUCAAGUUUUCAGCAAAGAUUAUGAAUUAACCAUAUUCACAAUAACAUUUAGGUCUCACAUUUACUCAUAUCAAUGGCAUAAUCAACUAGCGAGUAAUAAUAAUAAAUCUCGGAUGACAACACUUUUUCAAAACAAUCAUGAUAUGAUAUAACAAAAUGGUAUCUCGCUAGCCCUUUCUGAGACCGCAAAACAUAAAUGCAGAGCACCCCUGAAGAUCAAGGACUGACUAGACAUUGUAAUUCAUGGUAAGAAAUAUCCAGUCAUAGUCAUACUCAAUAUAAAUUAAUAACAAUGCAUACAAAUGACAAUGGUGCUCUCUAAUCGACGCUUUUUAUAAGAGGAUGAUGACUCAGCAAUAAAAGUAAAUAGAUAGGCCCUUCGCAGAGGGAAGCAGGGAUUUGCAACGAUGCUAGAGAGCUUGAGUUUUAAAAUAGAGAAAUAAUAUUUUGAGCGGUAUGCUUUCAUUGUCAACAUAACAACCAAGAGAUCUCGGUAUCUUCCAUGCUACAUACAUUACAGUCGGUUCCCAAACAAAAUGGUAAAGUUUAUACUCCCCCACCACCAACAAGCACACUCCAUGGCUGGUCCGAAACAACGGGUACCGUCCAACUAACAACAGUCCUGGGGAAGUUUUGUUUGCAAUUAUUUUGAUUUGAUUUGAGCAUGGGACUAGUCAUCCCGAUUACUAGCCCUUUUCUCGUGAAUGAUGAGCGGAGUCCACUCAUCGUGAGAAUAACCCACCUAGCAUGGAACAUAUUGACAGCCCUAGUUGGUACAUGAGAGAUUCGAACAUACAAAACAGAUUAUGAUCUGAAGGUUUAGAGUUUGGCACAUGCAAAUUUACUUGGAACGGCAGAUAAAUACCGCAUAUAGGAAGGUAUGGUGGACUUAUAUGGAACAACUUUCGGUUUUAUGGAAGUGCAUGCAAAAGCAGUAUUCCCGUUUAGUACAAGUGAAGACUAGAAAGAGACUGGGAACCGACCAACUAGAGAGCGACAACAGUCAUAAACAUGCAUUAAGAUUAACCAACAUUGAAUGCAGGCAUGAGUAGGAUAUAAAUCACCAUGAACAUAAAUAUCGUGGAGGCUAUGUUGAUUUUCUUUCAACUACAUGUGUGAACAUGUGCCAAGUCAAGCCACUCGAAUCAUUCAAAGGAGGAUACCAUCCUAUCAUACUACAUCACAACCAUUUUAAUAGCAUGUUGGCACGCAAGGUACACCAUUAUAAACUCCUAGCUAGUUAAGCAUGGCAUGAGUAACUAUAAUCUCUAAUUGUCAUUGCAAACAUGUUUCAUUCAUAAUAGGCCGAAUCAGGAAUGAUGAACUAAUCAUAUUUACAAAAACAAGAUAGGUCGAGUUCAUACCAGCUUUUCCUCAUCUCAAUCAUUUCAUCAAAUAUCGUCAUUAUUGCCUUUCACUUGCACAACCGAACGGUGUGGAUAACAAUAAUAGUGCAUGUGCAUUAGACUAAGCUGGAAUCUGCAAACAUUUAUUCAAAGGAGAAGACAAGGUAAUAUGGGCUCUUUGUUAGAUCAACAAUAAUGCAUAUGAGAGCCAUUCAACAUUUUCACCGUGGUCUUCUCCUCUCGACCCCCAAAGAAAAGAAAAGAAUUUCAAAGAAACACACUGAAAUGUUUUUGGACUUUUUGUUUUUCUAAAGGAAGUAAAACAAGAACGAGAAAAACUAUUUACACGGGAAAACUCCCAACAAGCAAAAGAAGAACGAGAAAUCUUUUUGAGUUUUCUUUUAAUACUACAACUAAGAAGAACGGUAAAUUUUUGUGAAGUGGGGGAGAUGCAAACGAGAGGCAAAUGGCAAAUAAUGUAAAUUGCGAGGAGAUGCGAUUUGUGAUUAGGAACCUAGUAGAUGUUGAAGAUCCUCCCCGGCAACGGCGCCAGAAAUUCACUUUGAUGUCGCUUGAAGCUACGUCGGUAUUUCUCCAAAGAGGAAGGGAUGAUGCAACACAGUGAUGGUAGGUAUUUCCCUCAGAUAUGAAACCAAGGUUUUCAAACCAGUAGGAGAACCAAGCAACACAACGUAAACAACCCCUGCACACAAAUAACAAAUACUCGCAACCCGAUGUGUUAAAGGGGUUGUCAAUCCCUUUCGGGUAACGGUGCCAAAAAGUGGUGCGUUGAUGGGAGAAAGCUGUAAAUAUUGAUAGAUCGAACGCAAAAUAAAAUAAAUUGCAGCAAGGUAUUUUUGUAUUUUUGGUUUAGUAGAUCUAAAAAUAAAAGGUAAAUAAAAUAGAUCGCGAAGGCAAAUAAUAUGAGAAAGAGAUCCGGGGGCCGUAGGUUUCACUAGUGGCUUCUCUCGAGAAAAAUAGCAAACGGUGGGUAAACAAAUUACUAUUGGGCAAUUGAUAUAACUUCAAAUACUCAUGACAAUAUCCAGGCAAUUAUCAUUAUAUAGGCAUCACGUCCAAGAUUAGUAGACCGACUCCUGCCUGCAUCUACUACUAUUACUCCACACAUCGACCUCUAUCCAGCAUGCAUCUAGUGUAUUAAGUUCAUGGAUAAACGGAGUAAUGCAAUAAGAACAAUGACAUGAUGUAGACAAGAUCUAUCUAUGUAGAGAUAGAACCCAUCGUUUUAUCCUUAGUAGCAACGAUACAUACGUGUCGGUUCCCCUUCUGUCACUGGGAUCAAGCACCGUAAGAUCAAACCCACUACAAAGCACCUCUUCCCAUUGCAAGAUAAAUAGAUCAAAUUGUCCAAACAAAACCCAAAUAUCAGAGAAGAAAUACGAGACUAUAAGAAAUCAUGCAUAUAAGAGAUCAAAGAAACUCAAAUAACUUUCAUGGAUAUAAAAAGAUAGAUCUGAUCAUAAACUCAAAGUUCAUCCAAUCCCAACAAACACAUGCAAAAAGAAUUACAUCAUAUGAAUCUCCAAGAGACCAUUGUAUUGAGAAUCAAAUGAGAGAGAGAGAGAGGAAGACAUCUAGCUACUAACUAUGGACCGGAAGGUCUACAAAGAAUUAUUCACGCAUCAUCAGAGAGGCACCAAUGGAAGUGAUGAACCCCUCUGUGAUGGUGUCUAGAUUGGAUCUGGUGGUUCUGGACUUUACGGCGGCUGGAAUUGUUUUUCAUCGACUCUCCUAGGGUUUCUGGAUUAUUGGGGUAUUUAUAGAGCAAAGAGGCGGUCCGGGGGGUCACCCGAGGUGGGCACAACCCACCAGAGCGCGCCUGGGCCUCCUGGCACGCCCUAGUGGGUUGUGCUCUCCUUGGAGCACCCUCCAGGCGCAGCCUUGGCCCAUUAGGUGUCUUCUGGUCCAUAAAAAAUCUCGGUAAAGUUUCAUUGCAUAUGGACUCCAUUUGGUAUUGAUUUUCUGUGAUCAAACAUGCAAAAAAUAGCAACUAUCACUUGGCACUAUGUCAAUAGGUUAGUACCAAAAAAUGAUAUAAAAUGAUUAUAAAACAUCCAUGAUUGAUAAUAUAACAUCAUGGAAUAGUCAAAAAUUAUAGAUACAUUGGAGAUGUAUCAGCAUCCCCAAGCUUAACUCCUACUCGUCCUCGAGUAGGUAAGUGAUAAAAACAGAAUUUUUUAUGUGGAAUGCUGCCUAUCAUGUCAUACCAUAUUCUUUUCUUUAUAGCAUCGUCAUUUGGACUUUUAUAUUGUUGAAAGCAAUAGUCUAGUUUUGACAUCAUAACUUAAAUACUCAAGCAUAUCAACAGGCAACCAUGUCUUUCAAAAUAUCAAUGCUAAAAUAAGCUAUCCCUAGCCCAUCAUGCUCAAUCAUUGAUCCAUUCAUGAAACACACUCGCAUAUUAACUACACCAAUGCUCAAGUACGAUCAUAGUGCCUCCUAGUUGGUGCUUCUAUAAGAGAGGAUGGAGACUCAAAAUAAAAAAUAAAAAUUGCAUAAAGUAAAAGAAAGGCCCUUCGCAGAGGAAAGUAGGGAUUUGUAGAGGUGCCAGAGCUCAAAGCGAAAAACUUAGAGAAAAAACAUUUUGGGAGGUGUGUCCUUCCCACCAACGAAAACGACUUAGAGUUCCCAACACUUUCCAUGCUAGAUAUAUCAUAGGUGGUUCCCAAUCAGAAAAUAAAGUUUAUUCAUUUUUUCACCAUACUUUCACUUUCCAUGGCUAACCAUAUCCACGGGUGCCUUCCAUACAACACUUUCCAAGGAAUUUAUUAUUUCACAACAUAAAGUAAAUUCAAUUUUCAUUUCGGUAUUGGCCAUCUCUAAUACCUUUGCCAUACUCUCGUGCAAUGACAAGUGAAUAAACACCCAUUGUGAGAAUAACACAUCUAGCACGGAAAAUAUUAGCCACCCCUCACCGCUCCGCGAGCGAAACGAACACACAAAAGAGAAGUUUAUUUUGAAAAUUAGAGAUGGCACAUACAAAUUUGCUUAUAACGGCAAAGAAUACAACAUAUAGGUAGAUAUAGUGGAUUCAUGUGGCAAAACUGGUUUAAAGGUUUUGAGAUGCACAAGUAGUGAUCAUACUUAGUGCAAAAUAAAGGCUAGCAAAAGAUUGAGAAGCGACCAACCAAGAAACGAAUAAUCUCAUAAGCGAGCAUUAAGCAUAAUUAACACCAAAUAAUGCACCACAAGUAGGAUAUACUUUCAUUGCAUAAUUAUUGACUUUCGUGCUUGCAUAGGGAAUCACACACCUUAACACCAAUAUUCUUACUAAAUCAUAAUUACUCAUCAACAUAACUCACAUAUCACAUUAUCAUAUCUCAAAACUAUUACUAAGAAUCAAGUUUAUUUUGCACAAUGAUCUUCAUGAAAGUUUUUAUUAUAUCCUUCUUGGAUAUCUAUCACUUUGGGACUAAUUUUCAUAUGUUGCUUUUGAUAAGCUCAAACAAAUAUAAGUGAAGAUCAUGAGCAUAAUUUUUACUUUCUCUCAAAUUAAUUUAAGUGAAGCAAGAGAGAAUUUCUUGAAAAUUUUACUAACUCUCAAAUAAAUCUAAGUGAAGCAAGAGAGCAUUUCUUCAAAAAUACUAAAGCACACCAUGCUCAAAAAUAUAUAAGUGAAGCACUAGAGCAAGUCCAUAGCUCAUAAAAAUUUAAGUGAAGCAUAGAGAGCAAUUCUAUCAAGUCAUGGCAUAAUUUUGGCUCUCUCAAAUAGGUGUGUACAGCAAGGAACGAAGACUAAAAACACAAAAUAAAACAAGCAAAGUCUCAUAUCAUACAAGACGCUCCAAGGAAAACACAUAGUUUGUGAUGUAUAAAAAUAUAGCUUCGAGUAAAAUAUCGAUGGUCGUUAGAAGGAAGAGGGGAUGCCCCGAGGGGCAUCCCCAAGCUUAGUUGCUUGCUCUCUUUUGGAUAAUAGCUUGGGAUGCCGGGGCAUCCCCAAGCUUAGGCUCUUCUUACUCCUUAUUCCCUCAUCCAUCGUAAGAUAACCCAAAACUUGAAAACUUCAAUCACACACAACUCAACAAAAGUCUUUGUGAGAUCCAUUAGUAUAAGACCCGUUAUACAUUGAGUCAAAUACAUUUAAAUUUUUGAUAAUUACAUUUGUUGCAAGCUUACAUUAUAGUGCCUUAGAAUUUUUUAAACAAUCAAAUGGGGACAACAGCGG
Molecule: long non-coding RNA, 7743 nt
Filed under: Triticum aestivum (bread wheat)
Lineage: Eukaryota; Viridiplantae; Streptophyta; Magnoliopsida; Poales; Poaceae
Description: long non-coding RNA (TAES_LNC014434)
Source: RNAcentral